UUCCGGUUGAUCCCGCCGGAGGCCACCGCUAUUGGGGUUCGGCUAAGCCAUGCKAGUGGAGGGCGUCCCGCGAGGGAUGGMCCCGCACACGGCUCAUUAACACGUAGUCAACUUACCCUCGGGACGGGGAUAACCUCGGGAAACUGAKGACAAUCCCCGAUARGUGAGGGACRCUGGAAUGCCCCCUCACUCAAAUCCUCCGGGGCCCRAGGAUAGGACUGCGGCCUAUCAGGCUGUUGGUGGUGUAACGGACCACCAAACCUACAACGGGUACGGGCGAUGGGAGUCGGAGCCCGGAGAUGGGGACUGAGACAAGGCCCCAUGCCCUACGGGGCGCAGCAGGCGCGAAAACUCCGCAAUGCGCGAAAGCGUGACGGGGGAACCCCAAGUGCCGUUGGUCCUUUGAUCGACGGCUUUUGUGGAGUGUAAGAAGCUCCACGAAUAAGGGCUGGGUAAGUCGGGUGCCAGCCGCCGCGGUAAUACCCGCAGCCCGAGUGGUGGUCGCGAUUAUUGGGCCUAAAGCGCUCGUAGCCGGGCUGGCAAGUCCCUUGUGAAAUCGGGCGGCCUAACCGUUCGGCUGGCAAGGGAUACUGCCGGCCUUGAAGCCGAGAGACGUCAAGGGUACUCCAGGGGUAGCGGUGAAAUGCUCUGAUCCUCAGGGGACCACCAUGGCGAAGGCGCUUGACGAGAACGGACCUGACGGUGAGGGGCGAAGGCUAGGGAGCKAACGGGAUUAGAUACCCCGGUAGUCCUAUCUGUAAAGGAUGCGGGCCAGGUGUCUGGUGUUCCUCGAGAGCACCAGGUGCCGGAAAGAAUUCGUUAAGCCCGCCGCCUGGGAAGUACGGUCGCAAGGCUGAAACUUAAAAAAGUUGG
This 873-nucleotide ribosomal RNA is filed under the name uncultured archaeon. RNAcentral describes it as "bacterial SSU rRNA". It matches the Rfam family "Archaeal small subunit ribosomal RNA", at positions 1 to 868 of the family's 1478-position model. The record is from RNAcentral.